CACGUAGGAGGCGAGCGUUAUUCGGAUUUACUGGGUGUAAAGCGCGUGCAGGCGGUUCAGAAAGUUGGAUGUGAAAGCUCCUGGCUUAACUGGGAGAGGUCGUUCAAAACUACUGGACUAGAGGUUGGUAGAGGGAGGUGGAAUUCCGGGUGUAGUGGUGAAAUGCGUAGAUAUCCGGAGGAACACCAGUGGCGAAAGCGGCCUCCUGGACCAAAACUGACGCUCAGACGCGAAAGCUAGGGUAGCAAACGGGAUUAGAGACCCCGGUAGUCCUAGCCGUAAACGAUGUGAACUUGGCGUCGGUGGGUUUAAAUCCAUCGGUGCCGAAGCAAACGCGAUAAGUUCACCACCUGGGGACUACGGCCGCAAGGUUAAA
Molecule: ribosomal RNA, 376 nt
Filed under: uncultured bacterium
Lineage: Bacteria
Description: bacterial SSU rRNA
Rfam family: Bacterial small subunit ribosomal RNA
Source: RNAcentral